AGAUUGUCGCCAUGUGGGGGUUGGGCUCUUCUCCCGAAGGUUGGACUCAAGUGAUCUUGGAGAUCUUUUCCAAACUUAAUGAUUCUGUGUCUUGACAAAAUGUGCCUACAUGCUGGCCAGAUGGCUGCUACCUCUUCAAAUAGAGACACUGAGUUGGAUCUGUCUUUGAUUCACCAUAAGAUACUAAAAUGAGCUUCUUUCUUCUUUUAGGCUGCCAGUUUUCCAUGAACUUGUAAGAACUUAGCAUCUUUGAGAAUGUUGCACCUCUCUCAAAUUUGGCUCAAGUUGGCUGUUGACUGAAACUGGAGUUGGGAGGCAGACAGGCAGAUGGCAUAUUUGCACGAGGGUUGUUCCUCUGGAAAAACAAGCUAAAAGAAGAAAACAAAUUCACACAGAAGAAACCUGACUGGACUUCUGAAAAACCUCCAACCACAUUCACAUGUAACAAUAUCUGAGGGAAAAAAAAGACAAAAUGGAGUUUUCCUCUUCCUAGAAAUCAGUGACACUGAACAGGAACUGCACAUGACUACAGGUGACAGUAGAAAAUCAACUUAGCCUGAUCUGCAGCCCAGUGUUUUAGAUCAAAGUGGAUAAUCCUGGGCUCUUCUUAAGGAAGAAGUGUUAUCUCUGUGCAGCAUUGAUGGGAGCAAAAUGAAACAAACUUUUCAGUGGUGAUGUCUGUUUGGAAAAGUAGUUGGAGAGGAACCUAAAGCAGAAUGUUAUGAUGUAGAGGGAAAUUUGAGGAAAUCAAACGUCUCUCUCUUAUGAGAAGACUACUAAGACACAAGCGUUUUGCUGUACAAGAAAAAUACCCAGAUCUGUCUUGAUGAUGGCCUGUGGAAAGUUAACAGGUAACAGAGGUAACAAAAAAUGUCAGAGUGAACUUUGAUGCCAACUGUGAGGAAAUUUAUAAAUAACAGAAACGAUUUCUAGUGCACAGCUUAACUAUUGCUAAAACAUGCUUGGGAACAUCAUUGUGCUUUUGUUUAUUUGGAAGUCUUUAAAUUAAGCUUGAAAGUAAUUCUUAAAUAUGAAUUGUAACCCAAAGAUAUCCAUAGCUUAAAGAAACUUGAAGUCUGAAAAAAUAAGAACUCAAGGACUCAAGGAGUAAAGCUUUGUCAAGCAGAAAUGUCCUGUUGAAAGAACAAAGUAAAAAAGGAAUGCCAGCAGCCAAGCAAAGGGAUCCUACUCACCUCAUUUCCUCGAGAAAGGGGAAAUGAAUGGCUGGCUUAUCCUGAUGCCUGAGCACAUCCUCCUGGGCACAGCACAUGGAUACUCCCCUUCUGGCCUCUACUUUCUCCCAUUUCAGCAACCUCCAGUCUCUAGGUCCAGUGAGGGUGGGUACUGCCUGCCUGAAUACAUGGACUUCUGAGGUGGUGGGAUGAUCAUUAGGCUCUUGACUAUCUCACGCUUUGCUCUGACAGACAGAUUGGUGCCUAAAAUUCCCCUAAAAUAAUGACAGAUCCAUAGAAUGCUCUUAACCUCUUUGAAUUAGGCUAUGAUAUAAGUAUGCUGCUAGGCAUUUAGGAGUCCAACCAAAGAUACCUUAAAUUGCUGAUUGGCCUCCAGUGCACUCAAUCUCUGUCAUUGCAGAUGUUUUUCUCAAAGGCUAGUGAAGUUUUGGGUUGGGAGGGGAUUUACAGACUUGGAAGGAAAGAGCAGAGCUGGAAGGGUUGCCUUAUACUUCCCUAGGCUUUUGUUAACUAACACUAUUACUGAAAGAGUCAAGUAACCAUCUGUCUGCAGCUGGGUGCCUAUGCAAGGCCCAACAAAGACAGUCCUCACAGUGCUGUGCUCCCAGAGCACAACAGUUCUCCUAUUGUCCAGUGCAGAGAUGUUUAGGUCCUUCCCCAUGUUUAAACAGAAGAAAUCAUUAUUCCUUUUCAAAAGGAAAUUACAUUAGCGUGUGUUUCUAAAUGAACUUAUCUUAAUAAGCAAGGCAAGAACAUGUCUAUGACACUGGAGAAAAAUAUUCUAGAUGUUUUGUCCUGCAUUUUCACACUGUGUUGCAGCUCACACUAUUAGAAAAUUAAGAAAAUCUGUUUCUCACUUUGGUUUCAAAUUCCUAGAAGUCAUUAUUAUUAUUACAGAACAUCUAGCUGCUGUUUGGUGUCCUCAAUGAAGUAAGGAUGGUAGUCUGAACAGGGAUCCAAAGAACAGGUGUCCAUAUCAGUGGAAGUUACCAAAGUAACUUGUAAAGAGGCCAGAAUCUCUGGAGGAUACACAGUUUAAAUAACCUUUCUGUAAUUAAUGGACUUAAUUUGAUUUUUUAGACCAUUAAACUAUAGAAGGUUUCUCACUUGAUUUUUUUGGUUUUGUCUUUGUUUUUUUUCCUCAGAUAGAAGUGUUGUGCAACUCCCUAAUGCCAAGUUUUUGUUUUUUCUGUAUUUCUAAUCAUAGAAUCAUGAAAUGAUUUGGAUUGGGGUAGAAGGGGCCUUAAAGGCUGUCUAGUUCCAAUGCCCCUGCUGUGAGCUGGAACAUCUUUCAAUAGACCUGGUUGCUCAGAGCCCUAAAUGAUGGCUCUAUAUGCCUGUCUUGAGCUUUUUAAUCAGGGAAUAAAUGUUCUUGUCAAAUGAAAUGAGGGAAAAUACAAAUAAAACUGAGAUGAUUUAUUUUUAAAAAGCUCACUUACCUUUCAACACUGCUAUUUUGAAUUAUCAUGGUUGAACUGUUAGGGUGAAAAAAAUGAAAAUUAUUGCAAUAGAGGAAAUUACAAGGAUACUGUUAAUUGCAGCCUAGGAAGUAAAUGAGGUGAGCCUUUCCCAGUAUAAAAAUAUGCAGUGUCUUAUAAACAUGGUAUAUUAGCAAAAUAAAUAAACUCAAGUUUGAGAAAUUCUUUAAGUCAUAAAUAAACAACAAAAAAUAUUUUGAGCAAGAACAGAUUUGUAAUGAUUUUUCUACCUCUUAUCUGAGCGGAAUUUAAAUUAGAUUCAGUAAUUCAGUAGUUUUAUGUUUUUUAGAGACAUCCCAACAGAAACCAUUCAAUUAGAAAGAUAAGUGACUCUUAAUGGUGUGUUUUAAAAUGUCCCUAAGUAUUUGGGUUACAUUGGUAAUGGCAAGAACUAUCCAUUUUGAGGUACAUAUUCAAAGCAGGGUAUUUAUAUAUUUUGGGAGUUGUAGCAGGAGUGAUAACCUUAGUUUUACUAAUAACUUGAAAAUAUUUUGAGUGUGACUUUUAGCUUUCAAAUAUUUCUCAACUUCACAGUAAAUGAAGAAUGACAUGUAUUUGUGGUUAGUUCUGCCUGAAAUCGCUCUGUCAUGAAACACUUCCCUUUCAUUAACCAGAAUUUACUGCUUGCCACUUGCUUUUCCAAGAAAAUAGAAGCUUUUGUUUUCAUUUUUGCUUACUUCAGUUGACUUCUUAAACAAAAGGAACAUUUUGUAUUCCUGUAUCAAUUAAGGAGCAGAGGAUACAAGGAUUCAAGCUUAGCAGCAUGCAGGAAUAUUAAGACAAGCAAUUCAAGUUUUGUCCAUACACUCCUUGUGCAUCAAUUCAAUUAUUUUCACAAUUUUUACAUCAUUUGCAAAACGUGUAGAUCUGUAGUUUACCUGUGAUCAGUUGCUCUGAAAAGGAAGAAAUAGAUAAUAAGAGGUAGCUAAAUAUGCAGAUCAAGGUUUUAGAAAUCCUGGCUUCUAAUCCUAACUGGCAUUGAUUUAGUCAACGUCUUUAGGUGAAGUUCUUUAACAGGGAGGCCAUUUGCACACAUUUUCAGGGCCCCAAAAUGAAUAAACACCUAAUAAAUAAACACCCACCCCUUAUCUUCUGUUUGUCCCAAAUGUUUUACUCUGAAGUGACUCUUGACCGAAUUAACAUGAAGAUUUCUACAUUAAUGUUUUUAAGGGGAUUUUGGAGAGGUUUUUUGAGUAAAUCAGUGGAAUUCAGUCAUAUUCCAGUCUCAGAAAAGUGUGAGAUUGUGGGACAUGAAUUGCUGCUAAUAGUGAGCGUAAAAACUGAUCUGAAAGCAAAGGUACCUGCAAGGGGCUUAGCAGCGAUCUAGGGUGCAAAGACAGGGGCACAGGCUCAGCUGUACUGCCUUUGCAUCUUGUGUUCUCACUGCCUCUCACGCAAACAACCCCAGUGUGGCGCAGGCAGAUGGUCCCGUUCCCCACUCCCUCCUUUCCUACUAUGGUGGGAAGAACCCACCUGUACUACCACAAGUUCAUGAGGUCCCACACCUACUCAUCUCUUUUUCCAUCCCUCUCUUUGCCUUGUUCAUCGUGUUCAAAUUAUACAGCUGGCUCUGCCUUUCUCCUUCUUGUUUUGUGCCACAGAACCCUUGCCUGCAAUAGUAACUCUCUUUAGUUGAAUAUAAUUUGUUCAUUCUUCCAUAUAUGCAGGUACUGCUACUUCCAACAAUGACUAUUUCAAAGUGUGGUGGAGUCUUGGUGUCAUGUCAUAGGUAGCUCAUUGUCCAGAAUUUCCAGUACUGAGAAAAUUCUUGAAUACAGGAUUAAUUCUCUUCCCAGGCAUUGAAAGUGCCUGAAUCUGUCCUGCUGGCAGUUCUCUGCAAUGCCCUUCCUUGCAAUAAACCCUGAAAAUAUGUUCACAGGAUACAACCACUCUACAGGCUCACCAUGUUAUUUUCCAUGUGCUUGUGGAAAAUGCUAUUUCAUUUUGUGUGCUGAUUAAAAAAAAAAAAAAGGCAUUUUGACUGAUUGUCAUGAACCAUGUAAAGAGAAAAAGACCCCAGUGGUGUUACUGUGAAUAAAACUUGUGUGACCUUGCCUGCAAUGUAUCUAACAUAGAAAAUGACUAAAAUUCAGGUUUUCUUAGUAACUCCAUUAUGUCAACAUUUCCUGGUUGCAACAGUCAUGGGUUUCUUUUUCACUGAAACAUGACGAGUUGGGCAAUGUGACCUCUUGCUGGACAGGCUGGAAAGAUGAGGCUACAAACAACACUAAAUCCAUUGUUACACAUUCCCUCUGUUCUCCACACCUGUAAUGCUUUGUUUCCCCUGUGCUCCACAGGCACCUCUUUUUUCCAAUUUUAUUUUUCUGUGGUUUGAUGAAAAGACAAAUAAUGGGAGCAAAACACAGGGGGGAAAAAAUGAUAGUUGAAAACAUCAGGAAAAAAUAAUUUUCCAAGUGCUUAAGUAGCAAGGCACUCUCGAAGUGCACAAAGAAUAAGAUAGCCUUUUUCUAUUAUUAUUUCAAAGUUAUUUAUUUCUAUAGGAUUCUUGCUGAUUUGGGUAGAUGCAAUGACCAAAGAUGACUGUCUACGGUUGUCAUAGGUUGAGAUUGGCCCCUCUGAGAGCAGGGGGCCCAGAGGGGAUUGGGUGCCAGGGCAGUGUUCCCUUGAGGGCCAAUCACCCCUCGUCUUAUUCGCUUCUGCUGAAAAAUCAUAUAUACACAACCGGCGGAAGUUGUGGGGAAUUCUGCCUGUGUCUGCUGCUGUGUGCGGGUGUGAGAAGGCCAAGGGGUGGCAGAGCCUCCUUCUUCCCCCUCAGGGGGGAGAGGAGGCCCUGCAUCCCCCAGCCCUGCCUAAGCCGGGGUUGGAGGCAGCAUUGGAGUGAGUGUUUGUGAGGGGCGACUCACAGCACCUGAGGUAAGAGGGAGGAGGCCAGGCCCUCUUCCCCCCCCUGCAGCUGGGCUUCAGGGCGCUUGGGGCAGUGUAUAACUGGACCGAGCUGCCUGUGGCCAAGGCUAGGGGGCUUUUCCCCCCACUGCAUUUAGGCUGGUGAGGGGUGGAUUCUAAGGCUUAGUAUUGAAGCUGAGCCAAGAGACAGGCUGGAGGAGGAGGCUCGGUUGCCAGGAGAAACAGUUGUGAUUCAUUGCAACAACUGGAAGAACUCCAGGCAAGAAUUGGAGAUGGGCCAAAGGGCUCGGGAGUUGCCCUACAGAGGUUUGACCGGGGACAGCCGAAAGCUGACUUGGAGAACGUUUGAUAAGCUGACUACAUUACAGCAGCUUACGAACCGAGGUAUGAUGAGUGAGAGAGAGGAUGACACAGCAGAAAUGGCACAAAACCAAGGAGAAAGGACUCAAAGCUGUCUUCUUGGACUCUGUGAAGAAGAAAGGACUGUAGCAAACAGCUGGAGGUUGGCGGGGGAGUGUUUCAGGUUCCCUGAACACUCCCAUGAGAGAAAGACUGGUUACCUAUCAGCUCUGAAGGGCUUUUCCUGGACUAAUUGAGGGAGGAUCUUAAAAGACUUAUAGAAGUGUAAUAUAUAUAUAUAGUUGCUUUUAGCUUGUAGAGUAUUUAUUUGUGUAAAUAAAUGUAUAUUACUUCCCCUUUA
This is a long non-coding RNA of Pseudopipra pipra, 6236 nucleotides long. RefSeq lists it as uncharacterized. The transcript is spliced from 2 exons. Lineage: Eukaryota; Metazoa; Chordata; Aves; Passeriformes; Pipridae. The record is from RefSeq and is a predicted model, not a curated record.